Long non-coding RNA from Thunnus maccoyii (southern bluefin tuna), 525 nucleotides. RefSeq lists it as uncharacterized. Lineage: Eukaryota; Metazoa; Chordata; Actinopteri; Scombriformes; Scombridae. The record is from RefSeq and is a predicted model, not a curated record. The transcript has 3 exons.
GUAAAAGAAGAGAUCUGUGGCUUCAAGCAGAGAGGAUGAAAAUGGUAAACUGUGGGAUACAUCUGUGGCAAAUACUUCAUCACAGUAUGUAGGAGAACCUACGAUGGCCACAAAACUCCAAAAACGUGAAAGGCCCCCUCAUGAACUAGUGCUUGGUUUGCCUGUUCUGGGCUACUGUAGAAAGAGCUCAUUUUAAGUACCUCCCACUGAAGAUACAAGGAGAGACGCAAGUAAAACUUGCAAGAAGACAGGAAACAAGGAAAUGUAUUCAGAGAAAUAAGAUGUCCUUUCCUCUGAAGAGUCAUGUGUUGCAGUUUCUGAUGACAGCAGCAGCUGAUCACAGCUGGAUCACAGCUGGAUCAGCUGUGAUCAGCUGGAUCAGCUGUCAGUCGGCUUGAACAGUUGGAGCAACUUCUGGAGUUUGUAUCUGCACAUAUGUUGACUGUGUUGAUAGUUAUCACUGCCAGCAGCUGUUUUCUCUCUGCAGCCUGUAACCUGUUUAACAAACACCUGCACAUGAAUAAA